Molecule: ribosomal RNA, 466 nt
Filed under: uncultured Klebsiella sp.
Lineage: Bacteria; Pseudomonadati; Pseudomonadota; Gammaproteobacteria; Enterobacterales; Enterobacteriaceae
Description: bacterial SSU rRNA
Rfam family: Bacterial small subunit ribosomal RNA
Source: RNAcentral
CCUACGGGCGGCUGCAGUGGGGAAUAUUGCACAAUGGGCGCAAGCCUGAUGCAGCCAUGCCGCGUGUGUGAAGAAGGCCUUCGGGUUGUAAAGCACUGUCAGCGGGGGGGGAAGGCGUUAAGGUUAAUAACCUUGUCGAUUGACGUUACCCGCAGAAGAAGCACCGGCUAACUCCGUGCCAGCAGCCGCGGUAAUACGGAGGGUGCAAGCGUUAAUCGGAAUUACUGGGCGUAAAGCGCACGCAGGCGGUCUGUCAAGUCGGAUGUGAAAUCCCCGGGCUCAACCUGGGAACUGCAUUCGAAACUGGCAGGCUAGAGUCUUGUAGAGGGGGGUAGAAUUCCAGGUGUAGCGGUGAAAUGCGUAGAGAUCUGGAGGAAUACCGGUGGCGAAGGCGGCCCCCUGGACAAAGACUGACGCUCAGGUGCGAAAGCGUGGGGAGCAAACAGGAUUAGAUACCCUUGUAGUC